UACGUAGGGUGCAAACGUUAUCCGGAUUUACUGGGCGUAAAGAGCUCGUAGGUGGUCUUGUAAGUUGAAUAUUAAAUCUCCCGGCUCAACUGGGAACAAGUAUUCAAAACUGCUUGACUAGAGGUAUAUAGGGGAGGAUGGAACUUACAGUGUAGCAGUGAUAUGCGUAGAUAUUGUAAGGAACGCCAAAGGUGAAAACAGUCCUCUGGAUAUUACCUGACACUGAGGAGCGAAAGCGUGGGGAGCGAACGGG
Molecule: ribosomal RNA, 253 nt
Filed under: uncultured bacterium
Lineage: Bacteria
Description: partial 16S ribosomal RNA
Rfam family: Bacterial small subunit ribosomal RNA
Source: RNAcentral